AAUUGCAAACAAAUCUGUUGUUGCCCUUCCCUUAGUCUCUUGAUGAAAUCUGACAAAACUUAAUCCUUAAAUUAAACAAUUCCCACGCAGUCCUCUUCACUAGAAAUCCCCAAUUACCCUCCAACACCACGGGUGGUUUAGAGGGCUCCCUGCACAUCAGAGUCUAAGACAGCUACAGGUCAGCAGCACCGAGAAUGAAAUACAGGUUGAAGGCUUAUUUCUUUUAACAACCCAGCAGGAUAUACAGGUUUAUCUGAGCACUCGGAUUUUUGCAGUGCAAAGCCCUAACAGAACACCUUCUUGGACCAUCAACUUCGUCUGCAUAACAACUUCCUCGGUUACCAACCUGCUGAGAAGUAUUAUCUCAAAGUUGUUCAAAUUUCUCAGGCAUUUGUGAGAGAGUAAAACCAGUAAUUACAACAAAAAAGACUUCGACAAACUAUUAUUUCAGGAGGAACCAAUGGCAUUGAGAUCACACUGAAUUCUAUACUGGCAAAGUAGAAAUAGUACCGCACGGUGUGUUCUGCUGGCAGGAGAGAUUUCAGAGGUUAGCGUCUUACUUUUAUCAAGUAAUCAAUGGUUUCAGAAUAAUCCUGUGAUUAUGCCUAUCGUGGCUUCCAGUGAGUAACCCCCUCCUCGGGGCAGGGCAGGGCCGGUACGAGAGGAGCUGCUGCCGCGCGGCUCCUGAGAGCAUUCCCUAAGGAACGGGCCACCUUCCGCCUGCCACACUCGAGGAAGCGAAACUCCGGCCUCGCUCGGCCCGCGCCCGCAUCACCGAGGGCAGGAACCGUCGGCCACGGCCUCCUGCGGACCGUCCCGGGACCGGGACCGCGCCGCUCGGGACACCGCUGGCCCGCAACGCCCCAACCUGCUCCCGGUGUUCAGGGGGCUCCUGCGGGGCGGGGCCGGAGCAUUGGAGCACUGGGAGCGGCCCGGGGAGGGCAGCGCUCGGGCCCGGCAGCAAACCGCCCCCCCCCGCCGCCCCGCUCUGCCCUGCCCGCUGCCCCGCCAGGCUCCGGGCUGAGCGGCACAGCCCUUACCGUGCCGAGCCGUGCCCACCAGCCCUCUUCUCUUCUCCGCUUCUCUCCGCUCGCCCGGGUGCAGCCACCGUCAGCAGGAUCGGGUAUUUCAGACAAAAUACAAGAACAAUAAAAUGAUCAACAAAACUUUCAAGUACAAGAUUCGGUGAGUUUAG
RNAcentral lists this long non-coding RNA (1195 nucleotides) under Parus major (Great Tit). Its description in RNAcentral is "lncRNA (ENSPMJG00000010377.1)". Lineage: Eukaryota; Metazoa; Chordata; Aves; Passeriformes; Paridae. The record is from RNAcentral.